This 531-nucleotide ribosomal RNA is filed under the name uncultured bacterium. RNAcentral's name for it is "bacterial SSU rRNA". It matches the Rfam family "Bacterial small subunit ribosomal RNA", at positions 974 to 1509 of the family's 1533-position model. The record is from RNAcentral.
CCUACGCUUGACAUGUACGGAAUCCUGAAGAGAUUUGGGAGUGCUCGAAAGAGAGCCGUAACACAGGUGCUGCAUGGCUGUCGUCAGCUCGUGUCGUGAGAUGUUGGGUUAAGUCCCGCAACGAGCGCAACCCUUGUCAUUAGUUGCUACGAAAGGGCACUCUAAUGAGACUGCCGGUGACAAACCGGAGGAAGGUGGGGAUGACGUCAAGUCCUCAUGGCCCUUAUGCGUAGGGCUUCACACGUCAUACAAUGGUACAUACAGAGGGUUGCCAACCCGCGAGGGGGAGCUAAUCUCAGAAAGUGUAUCGUAGUCCGGAUUGAAGUCUGCAACUCGACUUCAUGAAGUUGGAAUCGCUAGUAAUCGCGGAUCAGCAUGUCGCGGUGAAUACGUUCCCGGGUCUUGUACACACCGCCCGUCACACCAUGGGAGCGGGUUUUACCAGAAGUAGGUAGCCUAACCGCAAGGAGGGCGCUUACCACGGUAGGAUUCGUGACUGGGGUGAAGUCGUAACAAGGUAGGCGUAGUGCU